Molecule: transfer RNA, 76 nt
Filed under: Pseudomonas sp.
Lineage: Bacteria; Pseudomonadati; Pseudomonadota; Gammaproteobacteria; Pseudomonadales; Pseudomonadaceae
Description: tRNA-Val
Rfam family: tRNA
About the family: Transfer RNA (tRNA) molecules are approximately 80 nucleotides in length.
Source: RNAcentral
GGGUGAUUAGCUCAGCUGGGAGAGCGACUGCCUUACAAGCAGAAUGUCGGCGGUUCGAUCCCGUCAUCACCCACCA